AUUGAACGCUGGCGGCAGGCCUAACACAUGCAAGUCGAGCGGAUGAAGGGAGCUUGCUCCUGGAUUCAGCGGCGGACGGGUGAGUAAUGCCUAGGAAUCUGCCUGGUAGUGGGGGAUAACGUCCGGAAACGGGCGCUAAUACCGCAUACGUCCUGAGGGAGAAAGUGGGGGAUCUUCGGACCUCACGCUAUCAGAUGAGCCUAGGUCGGAUUAGCUAGUUGGUGGGGUAAAGGCCUACCAAGGCGACGAUCCGUAACUGGUCUGAGAGGAUGAUCAGUCACACUAGAAAUGAGACACGAUCCAGCCUCCGCGGGGAGCAACGAGUGGGAAAUAUUGGACAAGGGCCAAACGCUUGACCCACCCAUCCGGCGUGUGGAAAGAAGUCUUUGGGAUUUAAAAGUCUUUUAGUUGGGGGGAAAGGAAAGUAAUUAAAUCCCUUCGUGUUUGGACUUCCCCAAAAAAACAAGCCCCGACUACCUUCGUC
This 484-nucleotide ribosomal RNA is filed under the name uncultured bacterium. RNAcentral describes it as "partial 16S ribosomal RNA". It matches the Rfam family "Bacterial small subunit ribosomal RNA", at positions 30 to 507 of the family's 1533-position model. The record is from RNAcentral.